RNAcentral lists this ribosomal RNA (253 nucleotides) under uncultured bacterium. Its description in RNAcentral is "partial 16S ribosomal RNA". It matches the Rfam family "Bacterial small subunit ribosomal RNA", at positions 524 to 776 of the family's 1533-position model. The record is from RNAcentral.
UACGUAGGGUGCGAGCGUUGUCCGGAAUUACUGGGCGUAAAGAGCGCGCAGGCGGUCGAUUUAGUCGCGUGUGAAAGCCCCCGGCUCAACUGGGGAGGGUCACGCGAUACUGAUCGGCUCGAAGGCAGGAGAGGGUAGUGGAAUUCCCGGUGUAGUGGUGAAAUGCGUAGAUAUCGUAAGGAAGACCAGUGGCGAAGGCGGGUCUCUGGACAGUUCCUGACGCUGAGGCACGAAGGUCAGGGGAGCAAACGGG